UGCGGUUUAAUCGGACUCAACGCCGGGAAGCUCACCGGAUAAGACAGCGGAAUGAUAGCCGGGCUGAAGACUCUGCUUGACUAGCUGAGAGGAGGUGCAUGGCCGUCGUCAGUUCGUACUGUGAAGCAUCCUGUUAAGUCAGGCAACGAGCGAGACCCACGCCAACAGUUGCCAGCAUGUCCUCCGGGAUGGUGGGGACACUGUUGGGACCGCCUCUGCUAAAGAGGAGGAAGGAAUGGGGCAACGGUAGGUCAGCAUGCCCCGAAUUAUCCGGGCUACACGCGGGCUACAAUGGUCAGGACAAUGGGCAUCAACACCGAAAGGUGAAGGCAAUCUCUUAAACCUGUCCUUAGUUCGGAUUGUGGGCUGCAACUCGCCCACAUGAAGCUGGAAUCUGUAGUAAUCGCGUCUCAAAAUGGCGCGGUGAAUAUGUCCCUGCUCCUU
Molecule: ribosomal RNA, 444 nt
Filed under: uncultured Methanolinea sp.
Lineage: Archaea; Methanobacteriati; Methanobacteriota; Methanomicrobia; Methanomicrobiales; Methanoregulaceae
Description: bacterial SSU rRNA
Rfam family: Archaeal small subunit ribosomal RNA
Source: RNAcentral